Loxodonta africana (African savanna elephant) is the source of this 71-nucleotide transfer RNA. It matches the Rfam family "tRNA". From Rfam's summary of the family: Transfer RNA (tRNA) molecules are approximately 80 nucleotides in length. Their secondary structure includes four short double-helical elements and three loops (D, anti-codon, and T loops). The record is from Rfam. Lineage: Eukaryota; Metazoa; Chordata; Mammalia; Proboscidea; Elephantidae.
GCAGCGGUGGUUCAGUGGUAGAAUUCUGACCUUCCAUGUGGGAGACCUGGGUUCAGUUCCCGGCCAGUGCA